Molecule: ribosomal RNA, 253 nt
Filed under: uncultured bacterium
Lineage: Bacteria
Description: partial 16S ribosomal RNA
Rfam family: Bacterial small subunit ribosomal RNA
Source: RNAcentral
UACGGGGGGGGCAAGCGUUGUUCGGAAUUACUGGGCGUAAAGGGCGCGUAGGCGGCCCGGCCAGUCCCUUGUGAAAUCCCAUGGCUCAACUGUGGAAUUGCAGGGGAUACUGCCAGGCUUGAGUCCGGGAGAGGGGAGUGGAAUUCCAAGUGUAGCGGUGAAAUGCGUAGAUAUUGGGAGGAACACCGGUGGCGAAGGCGGCUCCCUGGACCGGUACUGACGCUGAGGCGAGAAAGCUAGGGGAGCAAACGGG